Capsicum annuum is the source of this 827-nucleotide long non-coding RNA. RefSeq lists it as uncharacterized. The transcript is spliced from 3 exons. NCBI's taxonomy places the organism in Eukaryota, Viridiplantae, Streptophyta, Magnoliopsida, Solanales, Solanaceae. The record is from RefSeq and is a predicted model, not a curated record.
UAACAGAAAAACGAUUUACUCAUGCUUCAGUUACCAAGAUGCUUAUUUUGUAGUGAUAGUGGUUUGUAUUUUAUCUUAUAAUAGGCAGCAUAACAAAGAAAGAGUCAUCUCUUAUUAAUUCUUCUAGUUUUAGCUGAUGCAUAUAAGCUGUUCAAAAUAUGAUGCCACGUUACUUACUGCAAUUUAUUGCUAUUUACUGUCCAGAUAACUUGACAGUUAAUUUUAUGGAAUUCCCUUUGCUUGUCUAUUAGCUUGAUUUGGUCGUUGAUCGAUUGUUAUUGCAUGAGUUGUUUAAACUUCAGUCAAUUUAGGGAAUCGCAUUGGAAAAUCAUGAAUGGUCAUAAACAUGCAAUCAAUUUGCGCCACAGAUGAAUUUACGGCUAAUAAAAUGAACAGCCAUAUCAUGAUGUAUUAAGACUAUGCUAGUCGCUGGAGGUUGAACAAUGAAGGUCUUCAGUUCUUGAUUAAUCGAACAAAUGGAAGCUUGGCUCCAUUCACAUUGUUUUGUUCUUUUAUCGAAUGCAAAGGUCUAAUAGCAUGCAAAGGUGUACGAUAUACAAGGAUUUUGGUAUGCUGUUACAACUCUUAGCCCAGUUGGUAAAAGGAAAAUUCUGCUGCAAUUCUCCAUUGAAUAGAAAGUCACUCGAAUGUGGUCUGACAGUAAAGCAACGGGUUCAUUGGGUCAUAUAAUGGUGGUCAACAUUAGUUGUUAACAGUUCUCAUCCAUCCAGACCAAAAGUGUACCAAUUUUAGAAUAUUCAGCUGAUGGAGCAAGUCCUACAACUACUACCUCCGAUCAAUCUGGGGACCUGUCGUUAGAUGUCAAA